AGAGUUUGAUCCUGGCUCAGGAUGAACGCUGGCGGCAGGCUUAAUACAUGCAAGUCGAACGGUAACAUGAGUAGCAAUACUUGAUGACGAGUGGCGGAUGGGUGCGUAACACGUGUGCAACCUACCUUAUACUGGAAUAUAACGUUGAGAAAUUGGCGCUAAUAUUUCAUAAUAUUUUUUAGAGGCAUCUUUAGGAAAUUAAAGCUUUUUGUGGUAUAAGAUGGGCACGCGUUCCAUUAGUUAGUUGGUAGGGUAACGGCUUACCAAGGCUACGAUGGAUAGGGGUUCUGAGAGGAUACACCCCCACACUGGAACUGAGACACGGUCCAGACUCCUACGGGAGGCAGCAGUAAGGAAUAUUGAUCAAUGGAGGCAACUCUGAACCAGCCAUGCCGCGUGCAGGAAGACUGCCCUAUGGGUUGUAAACUGCUUUUAAUAGGGAGUAAUUAUAACUACGUGUAGUUAUUUGCAAGUACCUAUAGAAUAAGCAUCGGCUAACUCCGUGCCAGCAGCCGCGGUAAUACGGAGGAUGCAAGCGUUAUCCGGAUUUAUUGGGUUUAAAGGGUGCGCAGGCGGACUAAUCAGUCAGUGGUGAAAUCUACAUGCUCAACAUGUAACCUGCCAUUGAUACUGUUAGACUAGUAUACAAAUGACGUAGCUGGAAUGUGUUAUGUAGCGGUGAAAUGCAUGGAUAUAACACAGAACACCGAUCGUGAAGACAGGUUACGAAUUUGUUAUAGACGCUCAUGCACGAAAGCGUGGGGAUCAAACAGGAUUAGAUACCCUGGUAGUCCACGCUGUAAACGAUGAUAACUUGUUGUUGGGCAUUUAAUGUUCAGUGGCUAAGCAAAAGCGAUAAAUUAUCCCCCUGGGGAGUACGAUCCCAAGGUUGAAACUCCAAGGAAUUGACGGGGGGCCCGCACAACCGAAGAACAUGUGUUUUAUUUCCAUGAAACCCAGGACCUUACCCGGCCCCAA
RNAcentral lists this ribosomal RNA (978 nucleotides) under uncultured bacterium. RNAcentral's name for it is "bacterial SSU rRNA". It matches the Rfam family "Bacterial small subunit ribosomal RNA", at positions 8 to 984 of the family's 1533-position model. The record is from RNAcentral.